GGGAGACCCCAUAUGGCUGCCCCAUUACCCACACAAACCAGAGGCGGAGGAAGGGUUGGAUGUAACACUGAAUGGUUUGUGGCCCACAGGGGUGUUGGAGGAGUCAUGUUCCGCGUGGAACACGCCUAUCCUCCCGGUCGAAAAGAAAGGGACAGGGAAAUACCGUAUGGCCCAUUAUCUCAGAGCCAUUAACGACAUUAUACUCACACCCACCAUACCGGUACCUAACCCGUAUGUAGCACUCACUGAUUUGACCCCUGAUCAAAAAUGGUUCACCUGCAUUGACCUGGCUAAUGUUUUUUCCUGUCUCCCACUAGCAGAGGAACUUCGUGACAUCUUUUCUUUCACACGUAAGGGUCGACAAUGGCGAUACACGAGACUACCACAGGGGUUCGCGCUUUCCCCUGGCAUAUUCAACCAGGUACAGAGAGAAGCGCUGCAGGGAUGCUGCCUGCCGACAGGGGUAACUUUGGUCCAGUACGUAGAUGAGCUGCUGCGGUGGCCGCCUGCAUCCAAGCUACAAUGACGGUCCUCACCAGACUGGCUGAGAAAGGGUUCAAGGUGUCGAAAGAUAAGCUACAGUUGAGUCGGAGAACGGAGGAACCUGCACCUGUUGGACCAGAAUCUGCCCCAGGCGGAGUGGGUGCUGCUGAAGGUCAUCAAACGAAAGUGGUCGGAGCCAAGGUGGACGGGUCCUCAUCAGGUGGUGGAGAGAACGAGUCAUGCGGUCCGCCUGAGGGGCAAAGGAGAGACAUGGUACCAUUGGAGCCAGUGUACACCAGCGCAGGAGCCAGGGAGAUCACUGACAGACCUCAUCCAAACUGGGAAGGUGGAGCUCGCCCCAGUGUGGACGGAAGAAGGACCAAAACCAGCCGGAUCGGUGCCCAGAGCGGACCCCAGGAUACUGCGGGACUACGAGCGAGAGAAGGAGACAAAGGACGGCACCAGGGGAAUAGACUUUUAGGGGAAGGAACCAAAAGAAUACUGUAACAAAAAGAGGUUUAGGACACUGAGUGGCUCCUACCACUCGUACCAAGAUGACAGGGUUACAGAGAAAGGUCUGGGGAGAUGAUAGUAGAAUGAAAUGGUACCUGGGCAUUGGUGGAAUAAUGAUAUGAGUGUUGUAUGUUGCUACAGGUUUCCCCGGUUGGCAUCGGGUCUCCAAUUCCCCAGCGAGAAGGCAUAUGACACAAAAAGAGGAUGCCUGCCUGAAAGAGGGCGGGGGUAUCGAAUUGGAUUAUGUCAAGGGGUCGCAUACGAGCAUUCUGGGGUAGAUAAUCCGCUGGAGGAAUGGAUGACCUCGAUGUUCGGCCAGUGGAAAGGUUUGAUAAUGUCUGUUCUUUUAUCGCUUGCUACAUUUUGUGCUAUAAUGGUUACUUGUGGGUGUUGUUGUAUCCCAUGCAUGAGAGGGCUCGCCAUGAGAGUGAUCUCUACAGCCAUUGAGAAGGCUCCAGGACCGCCACCGGGGAUGGAACAGCACGACCCGGGAGAACUGGAGCUGGGCGAAUAGGGGUGAUCUUUCUGGGGAGAGAUCAAAAGGGGGAAUUGUGGAUAUAUUGACUGUAUAAGCUGUUAAACUGUUGUGAGCAUUGAAGCAGAAUGUUGGAUGUCUGCUGAAAGUUGCAAGUAGAAAAACAGGAAAUCUUGUUUAGGCGGUUGCUAGGAAGAGGAAGUAGAUUUAGCUUGUGUGUCUCAGACACACAGGGAACAGGACACAGAUUGACAACGCACACACAUACUGAGGAACUUCAAGCUGAAGACAUAAAGCCCAAAUAUGACGCUUGUGCUGCAUUUACACAUAUAAGGUAUAGAACAUAAAUUGGACCAAUGGCACACUGCUUGGCUACCUUAACGCCCCCACUUUUUAGGCGUGUUUGAAGUAUAAAUAAUGCUGUUAUGACUGUUCAUGUUUAGACAUUGUGCGGCGACACUUUGUCUCCAAAAGCUUUUGUAAAAACCGAAUAUGCGGUACAGUAAUUGACCUGACUCCUGGUGUGUUAUUCUCCUUUCCAAUAAACCAGCUAAAAAUGCAUGGAUUGCGCAAUUGUAAAAUGUAUUUAAACAUUCUUAAAAAGUUCAAA
Esox lucius (northern pike) is the source of this 2081-nucleotide long non-coding RNA. The record is from Ensembl. NCBI's taxonomy places the organism in Eukaryota, Metazoa, Chordata, Actinopteri, Esociformes, Esocidae.